RNAcentral lists this ribosomal RNA (397 nucleotides) under uncultured bacterium. RNAcentral's name for it is "bacterial SSU rRNA". It matches the Rfam family "Bacterial small subunit ribosomal RNA", at positions 29 to 416 of the family's 1533-position model. The record is from RNAcentral.
AAUGAACGCUGGCGGCGCGCCUAAUACAUGCAAGUCGAGCGAGAAGACGUAGCAAUACGUUUGUAAAGCGGCGAACGGGUGAGGAAUACAUGGGUAACCUACCCUCGAGUGGGGAAUAACUAGCCGAAAGGUUAGCUAAUACCGCGUACGCUCCUUGGACUUCGGUUCAGGGAGGAAAGCGAUACCGUGGGUAUCGCGCUCUUGGUUGGGCUCAUGUCCUAUCAGCUUGUUGGUGAGGAACGGCUCACCAAGGCUUCGACGGGUAGCUGGUCUGAGAGGACGAUCAGCCACACUGGCACUGCGACACGGGCCAGACUCCUACGGGAGGCAGCAGUAAGGAAUAUUGCGCAAUGGGCGAAAGCCUGACGCGGCGACGCCGCGUGGGGGAGUGAAGGUC